AUACAUGCAGUCGAGCGGACAGAUGGGAGCUUGCUCCCUGAUGUUAGCGGCGGACGGGUGAGUAACACGUGGGUAACCUGCCUGUAAGACUGGGAUAACUCCGGGAAACCGGGGCUAAUACCGGAUGCUUGNNNNAACCGAGCNNGGUUACAAACAUAAAAGGUGNCUUNGNCUACCACUNACNGAUGGACCCGNGGCGCAUUAGCUAGUUGNNGAGGUAAUGGCUCACCAAGGCGACGAUGCGUAGNCGACNUGAGAGGGUGAUCGGCCACACUGGGACUGAGAACACGGCCCAGACUCCUACGGGAGGCAGCAGUAGGGAAUNUUCCGCAAUGGACGAAAGUCUGACGGAGCAACGCCGCGUGAGUGAUGAAGGUUUUCGGAUCGUAAAGCUCUGUUGUUAGGGAAGAACAAGUACCGUUCGAAUAGGGCGGUACCUUGACGGUACCUAACCAGAAAGCCACGGCUAACUACGUGCCAGCAGCCGCGGUAAUACGUAGGUGGCAAGCGUUGUCCGGAAUUAUUGGGCGUAAAGGGCUCGCAGGCGGUUUCUUAAGUCUGAUGUGAAAGCCCCCGGCUCAACCGGGGAGGGUCAUUGGAAACUGGGGAACUUGAGUGCAGAAGAGGAGAGUGGAAUUCCACGUGUAGCGGUGAAAUGCGUAGAGAUGUGGAGGAACACCAGUGGCGAAGGCGACUCUCUGGUCUGUAACUGACGCUGAGGAGCGAAAGCGUGGGGAGCGAACAGGAUUAGAUACCCUGGUAGUCCACGCCGUAAACGAUGAGUGCUAAGUGUUAGGGGGUUUCCGCCCCUUAGUGCUGCAGCUAACGCAUUAAAGCACUCCGCCUGGGGGAGUACGGUCGCAAGACUGAAACUCAAAAGGAAUUGACGGGGGCCCNCNCCAAGCGGUGGAGCNUGUGGUUUAAUUCGAAGCAACGCGAAGAACCUUACCAGGUCUUGACAUCCUCUGACAAUCCUAGAGAUAGGACGUCCCCUUCGGGGGCAGAGUGACAGGUGGUGCAUGGUUGUCGUCAGCUCGUGUCGUGAGAUGUUGGGUUAAGUCCCGCAACGAGCGCAACCCUUGAUCUUAGUUGCCAGCAUUCAGUUGGGCACUCUAAGGUGACUGCCGGUGACAAACCGGAGGAAGGUGGGGAUGACGUCAAAUCAUCAUGCCCCUUAUGACCUGGGCUACACACGUGCUACAAUGGACAGAACAAAGGGCAGCGAAACCGCGAGGUUAAGCCAAUCCCACAAAUCUGUUCUCAGUUCGGAUCGCAGUCUGCAACUCGACUGCGUGAAGCUGGAAUCGCUAGUAAUCGCGGAUCAGCAUGCCGCGGUGAAUACGUUCCCGGGCCUUGUACACACCGCCCGUCACACCACGAGAGUUUGUAACACCCGAAGUCGGUGAGGUAACCUUUAGGAGCCAGCCGCCGAAGGUG
Molecule: ribosomal RNA, 1437 nt
Filed under: Bacillus sp. LPUARVINDER
Lineage: Bacteria; Bacillati; Bacillota; Bacilli; Caryophanales; Bacillaceae
Description: 16S ribosomal RNA
Rfam family: Bacterial small subunit ribosomal RNA
Source: RNAcentral